This 491-nucleotide ribosomal RNA is filed under the name uncultured bacterium. RNAcentral's name for it is "partial 16S ribosomal RNA". It matches the Rfam family "Bacterial small subunit ribosomal RNA", at positions 28 to 507 of the family's 1533-position model. The record is from RNAcentral.
GAUGAACGCUGGCGGCGUGCCUAAUACAUGCAAGUCGAGCGAACAGACGAGGAGUUUGCUCUUCUUUCGUUAGCGUCGGAUGGGUGAGUAACACGUGGCUAACCUACCUUUAAGACUGGGAUAACUUCUGGAAAUCGGAGCUAAUACCGGAUAAUAUAUUGAACCGCAUGGUUCAAUAGUGAAAGACGGUUUUGCUGUUACUUAUAGAUGGGUCCGGGGCGCAUUAGCUAGUUGGUAAGGUAACGGAUUACCAAGGCGGCGAUGGGUAGGCGGCCUGAGAGGGGGGACGGGAAAACUGGGAAGGAGAGAAGGCACAGAAUACUAAGGGAGGUAGGAGUGGGGAAGAAGGCAAAAUGGGCGGAAGCAUGAUGCAGCGAGGACGCGGGGGGGAUGACGGCCUUCGGGUGGUAAAUUCCGUGAGACCGCGAGGAAGCCACCUGGUUGGAAGGGUGGUGACGGUAGUGGUAGAAGAAGAACCGGCUAACUACGUG